GCUUUUCAGAUACUUCAUCUGUGAGCAGUAGCUUUAUAAUUACAGCACUUGACAGGGAAGGGUAAUUUUCAUUUCGGAUUUAAUUUGGAUGAGAGUGUUGAAAUUCUGUGUCUCUUUCUGUCUCCGCAGAAUGCCAUGCAGUGCACUGCAGUACCUGUGUGGUGCCUUCAUUGUGCACUUAUUCUGGCUUCCACAGUCAUUUUACAGCUGUUAGGAGCGUGGGAUGAGAAAGAAUGUGGGUAUCAGGCUUUAGACAUUGUCUGUCUGUAGAGCUUGGUAACCUCCUUUUCAAAUGAACAUGGAAGAACAUGCAGAUGAAGUCAAAUCUCUGUUGACUGGUUUGUGACCAACUUGACAGACUUCCCGGGAAUCUUUUCAUCUGACAGUUGCAAGAACCACAUGAUACUGAAAUCCAUAUGGUUCCACCAUAUCUUUUUGGAGAUGACAAGUACUGGGUGUAAUGAUCAAAAUGUCCGCACACCACGCAUUAACACAAUGUUCAGCUGACAAUCCACUUGCUGAAGACUGGAGACCUUUUGGAAGUCUCUAUCAUAGCUCCCUGGGGGACUACCUUAGUAAAAUUCCUCCGAAAAUAACUCCCCUCACCAAGCCCCCAUGA
RNAcentral lists this long non-coding RNA (619 nucleotides) under Phasianus colchicus (ring-necked pheasant). RNAcentral describes it as "lncRNA (ENSPCLG00000019608.1)". Lineage: Eukaryota; Metazoa; Chordata; Aves; Galliformes; Phasianidae. The record is from RNAcentral.